RNAcentral lists this ribosomal RNA (502 nucleotides) under uncultured bacterium. Its description in RNAcentral is "bacterial SSU rRNA". It matches the Rfam family "Bacterial small subunit ribosomal RNA", at positions 26 to 518 of the family's 1533-position model. The record is from RNAcentral.
AGAACGAACGCUGGCGGCGCGUUUAAGCAUGCAAGUCGAGCGGCAAGGGCCUUCGGGCCCCUAGAGCGGCGGACGGGUGAGUAACACGUGGACAAUCUGCCCCCCGGCCCGGGAUAGCCCAGGGAAACCUGGAUUAAUACCGGAUGAGACGGGACCCGCGAUGGCGGGAUCCGGGAAAGGCGCUGCGGCGCCGCCGGGGGAUGAGUCUGCGUCCCAUUAGCUAGACGGCGGGGUAACGGCCCACCGUGGCGACGAUGGGUAGCCGGCCUGAGAGGGUGGACGGCCACAUUGGAACUGAGACACGGUCCAGACCCCUACGGGAGGCAGCAGCUAAGAAUCUUCCGCAAUGGGCGAAAGCCUGACGGAGCCGACGCCGCGUGAACGAAGAAGGCCGUGAGGUUGUAAAGUUCUUUUCGGGAGGGGGAACAACCGUGGCAGGGAAUGGCCGCGGGAUGACGUGAAUCCCGGAAUAAGCCCCGGCUAACUACGUGCCAGCCGCCGC